UACGUAGGGUGCAAGCGUUGUCCGGAAUUAUUGGGCGUAAAGAGCUCGUAGGCGGUCUGUCGCGUCGGAUGUGAAAACCCAGGGCUCAACCCUGGGCCUGCAUUCGAUACGGGCAGACUAGAGUUCGGUAGGGGAGACUGGAAUUCCUGGUGUAGCGGUGAAAUGCGCAGAUAUCAGGAAGAACACCAAUGGCGAAAGCAGCUUUCUGGGACGGUACUGACGCUGAGACGCGAAAGCGUGGGGAGCGAACAGG
RNAcentral lists this ribosomal RNA (253 nucleotides) under uncultured bacterium. Its description in RNAcentral is "partial 16S ribosomal RNA". It matches the Rfam family "Bacterial small subunit ribosomal RNA", at positions 524 to 776 of the family's 1533-position model. The record is from RNAcentral.